Non-coding RNA from Pelobates cultripes (western spadefoot toad), 230 nucleotides. The record is from the annotation of a GenBank genome assembly. Lineage: Eukaryota; Metazoa; Chordata; Amphibia; Anura; Pelobatidae.
CAUCCUAUCUUAAACGGACGUCACAACAGGAGUACACUAUGUUACUCAAACUUAAAGAUCAGACUAACUCACAGCUACUACAACCGACAGAUACUAGACAACUACUGAUUGAACAAAUCAUUAAGCAACCGAAUGACUUACUGUUUAGCAAAACCACGUACAUGCUACAUAAACUACAACUGAAAACAUACACCCAGGGCAACAAAGCCCAAUCAAAAAUCCCAUACUUG